Molecule: ribosomal RNA, 427 nt
Filed under: uncultured bacterium
Lineage: Bacteria
Description: bacterial SSU rRNA
Rfam family: Bacterial small subunit ribosomal RNA
Source: RNAcentral
UGGGGAAUAUUGCGCAAUGGACGAAAGUCUGACGCAGCGACGCCGCGUGAGGGAUGAAGGUCUUCGGAUCGUAAACCUCUGUCAGAGGGGAAGAAACUACGGGGUGCUAAUCAGCUCCGUACUGACGGUACCCUCAAAGGAAGCACCGGCUAACUCCGUGCCAGCAGCCGCGGUAAUACGUAGGGGGCAAGCGUUGUCCGGAAUGAUUGGGCGUAAAGGGCGCGUAGGCGGCCUGGUAAGUUUGGAGUGAAAGUCCUAUUUUUAAGGUGGGAAUUGCUUUGAAAACUGCUGGGCUUGAGUGCAGGAGAGGUUAGUGGAAUUCCCGGUGUAGCGGUGAAAUGCGUAGAGAUCGGGAGGAACACCAGUGGCGAAGGCGACUAACUGGACUGUAACUGACGCUGAGGCGCGAAAGUGUGGGGAGCAAACA